UAGGAAGACGCUUGUUGGUUUGAGCGCUUAGCUGUUAACUAAGAUUUUGUAGGAUCGAGGCCUGCCUUUCUAG
Non-coding RNA from Monopterus albus (swamp eel), 73 nucleotides. The record is from Ensembl. NCBI's taxonomy places the organism in Eukaryota, Metazoa, Chordata, Actinopteri, Synbranchiformes, Synbranchidae.